GAUGAAUGCUGGCGGCGUGCCUAAUACAUGCAAGUCGAGCGGUAACACUUCGGGUGACGAGCGGCGGACGGCAGAGUAACGCGUAGGAACGUACCCCAAACUGAGGGAUAACGCACCGAAAGGUGUGCUAAUACCGCAUGUGAUCUUCGGAUUAAAGCUUCGGCGGUUUGGGAACGGCCUGCGUAUGAUUAGCUUGUUGGUGAGGUAAUGGCUCACCAAGGCGACGAUCAUUAGCUGGUCUGAGAGGAUGAUCAGCCUGACUGGAACUGAGACACGGUCCAGACUCCUACGGGAGGCAGCAGUAGGGAAUAUUGGACAAUGGGCGCAAGCCUGAUCCAGCCAUGCCGCGUGAGUGAUGAAGGCCCUAGGGUUGUAAAGCUCUUUCGGCGGGGACGAUAAUGACGGUACCCGCAGAAGAAGCCCCGGCUAACUUCGUGCCAGCAGCCGCCGUAA
Molecule: ribosomal RNA, 453 nt
Filed under: uncultured bacterium
Lineage: Bacteria
Description: partial 16S ribosomal RNA
Rfam family: Bacterial small subunit ribosomal RNA
Source: RNAcentral